This 314-nucleotide ribosomal RNA is filed under the name Sarcocystis calchasi. RNAcentral describes it as "partial large subunit ribosomal RNA". Lineage: Eukaryota; Apicomplexa; Conoidasida; Eucoccidiorida; Sarcocystidae. The record is from RNAcentral.
UGGAAGCGAUUGGAACCUUUUGGAAUCUAAUACGUGAAUCUCUUAUAACAUCAAGCCCCUAAUUCUUUCACUCUUUAACAGGAGGGAAGAGUUUGGGUAAGGCUAUAGAUGUAAGGGACGAGAAUCGUAUUGGAGAGGUCAGCAUCAGUUACGAAGGAAAGAUUAGGGGUGCAGAAGGUAGGUUCCUCGUGGGCUGCUUUAUAGAUGCACCAUUUAAUACACUUUCCUUUGUGACUGACGUGUACUUAUUGCAUGGAAUUUUCGGGCUACACUCUCUUCUGAGAGUACUCGAGUUCUGUGAUGCUGGCUGAAAC